Molecule: long non-coding RNA, 5407 nt
Filed under: Heterocephalus glaber (naked mole-rat)
Lineage: Eukaryota; Metazoa; Chordata; Mammalia; Rodentia; Bathyergidae
Description: lncRNA (ENSHGLG00000032909.1)
Source: RNAcentral
CCCCCAGCUUUGAUGUAUACUCUAUGAGGCAGAAACCCUGCUGUCCUUCCUCACCAUUCACCGUGAGCAGGGUCUAUAACAUACUGGAGGUACAGCAGGUGCUCAUGAAAUAUUUAUUGAGUGAAUUAUGGCAGUGGUGACAAAUACCUUAUUUCUCCACAAGGCUUUAAACCAUAGCUAUAAAGUGUGGUAAAAAAUGUAUGACUGUGAAAAAAUUUUUAAUUAUUACAAUAAGAGACAUACUGUCAUUAAUCCCCUUCAAAAUACUUUUUUUUGCUUUGAACACAUUUAUCUCAUCAUUCCUGCCGCUUCCUGAAGCACUUCUGGAAGUCUUCCUUUGUGAGGGUCUUUAAUCGUGCUAUCACACCUGCCUUGAUGUCCUGAAUCUAUCCAAAACAUUUACUUUUCGUGGUCAUUUUGGCUUGGGAGAAGAGCCAGAACUCUGUGCCAGAUCCAGGGAGUAAGGUAGGUAAAGACACAGCACCAUAUUUUUAUGGGCCUGCCUUUCCCUUGGAUAGCACUCAGCAGCAGCCGCCGCCUCUGUUCCUGAUCACACUUUGUAAAGACACUCAUGAAAGAGGACUUCCAGAACUGCUUCAGAGAGUUGCAAGAAAGAUGGGAUAAGCAUGUUUAAAGCGAGGGGGAGUAUUUUGAGGGAGAUUCAUGACAAUGUGUCUUUACUAUAAUAAAUGUUCAGGAAAAAUAUAUAUUCAUAUUCACCAUAUCUUUUGAUCACACCACAUAGAUGUUUUCAGCCUUGCCCCAAAUCUGCCAGGUUCUGAUUCGGCCCGUCUGAGGGGGUUCUCAUGCCUCCAGUCCCCUCAGGGCUGUAGAUGUCCAAUGCCGUGAUUUAGGCUCUGGAGAGGAAGAGAACCAGACAGAGGUCACCAGAGCUGAGCCUCUCACUGUCCUGCCCCAGGUGGCCUGGCUCUCCCUGGCCAGCCCUGCAACCAGGCCCCCAGGUUGGUGUUGGGGCUGAACACAGAGGAAGCAGUGGCUGCUGAGCUCACGGAGUCUGGCCAAGCCACGUCUGAGAGGCCCUCUCGGGAGGAGAGGCAAGGCAUGGGCCGUGGUGCCCUGUGGCUUUUUCCUCCUGGCCUCAUAAACAUCCAUCUCUGCUAGGAGACGCUAUAUUCAGUGGGAAGCUGAGAAACUGAAAUCGCAACCAGACAUAAAUACGGGGCAUCCCCCCCUUCCUCUGUGGGGAGCGGCAGCCUAGCCCGGCAGACACAGCAGGUGGAGGGGCUCCCACCCCAAGACAGCCAGGGCCACAUCACCUGCUCCCGGCACAGUAACUGGCCCACGUGACAUAACCCUUGCUCUUCUCUGUGCCCAGGCACCAGCUAUGACAGCUACAAGCUGUUUCUCCGUGGGCAAAUCACUCAACCGCUCUGAUCCCCCCCGGCCUCGUGGGGGAAAUACGUGAUAAAAGCACCUGCCCCACGGUGCUCACAGAGCACAGAGAACACGCUCCACAAGGCUCUUAGGACAGCGUCUCUCUCAGCACAUUUCUAAAAAUAUGCUUUAUUGGAUUUCUCCUUUCGAGCUACAGAGGCAGUACACGUCCCUGACAACAUGCCCAUCGGCAGAGAGGUGAGCGGAAGAAAAGCUCUCAUCUGCCUUCCCUCCAACCUCCCGGGCCCUGCCCGCCCCCACGAGUUCCCGCAGGAGGUGACAGUCAGCGCUUUGCCUUCUCCGCUCUUCAGGGCCCUUCUCGGCACGUGCGGCUUCAUUUUUACAGAAAUGGCCCAAUUUCGCAUGCCUUUCCCGGGCUAGUGUAGCUCUCAGAGGUCCGCGUGAACUUCUGAGUCCCCGCUGGUGGCAGCCGGGCCACGUCCCUGUCCAGCCCAGCCGCGCUGCAGGACCCGUCUCCCGCCUGCUUUCUCUGGGCGGAGCCGCAGGGCACCGGGCAAAGGGCGCGGUUUUGUGCUCCGGCCCGGGCCGUGCCGCGGACCAGGUGAUCUGAGCGGCCCGGCCCAGCAGCGCGGGCCACACUGGCUCCGGGUCUCCGGGGGGCGCUCCCUUCCUGACACCAGGCUGGACACACGAGCGAAGGCCCGCGUCACCUUAUCCCUUGCCACGGCCCAGAGGGACAGGUGAUGGGUGGGGUGGGCGGCAGGUGAGGUGAGGCCUUGGGAUUGGGCCCCCAGACUCUGAGCAGUGAAGCCCGCGGGUGUCAGCCCAGGAAUGCUCCUGUGCGCCGCGGCUCUCAGGCAGGUCCCUGGGUGCCGCUCCUCACCGAUGGUCACAGACCGACCCAGAGAACGACACACGGGGAGCCAGGUGGAGGGGACACCUGGGCAAAGGCCCCGCCCAGGCCACUCUGGCUCCCAGACCAGGGUCUCCUCCCUGGCCAGGCCUGGGUGCUGUCCCCUGAGCUGGCUCCCUGCGCGCCACCCUUACCUCAUGUCAUCCGGUUACUCGGCCAGCAAUUAUUGAGCGCCUCCUGUAUGCAGGGCACCGUGCCGUGCCAGGGGGUGUGCUGGGUGAACAGAUGAGGCCACAUCCUCCCGGCUACCAGGGUCCUCCAAACAUGCCACAUCCCGUCCCGGGAACUGUGCGGACCGUAGUUACUUCAGGGGCGCAGGGGACUUGGCAGGCAGGAUUACAUGGGGGUUGAGAGAUGAGAUAAUUACUCCGCAUUACCCCCUCGGGGCCCAUAUCAACGCAGCCCUUCCCCGAGGGAGGCAGGAAGGCCAGCAGGAGAAAGUGGGGAGGGAGGCAGGGAUCAGAGACCUGAGGAGUUGCUCCCGGAGGGAGGGCCAGGGGCCCAGGAUGCCAGCGGCCCAGAGCCCCUCCCCUCGCUUCCAGGAGACAGGCAGCCCCGUCCUGUUCUAGACUUCGGCCCCCAGAACUGUAAGCAAGAGGAGGCAGAUCCUAAGUUCCGUUAGGACAAGAUGUGAAAUCUGGUGAGAACACAGUGCAAGAGAAAGCACAGCCCCUCCUGAUGAGAAAGGAUCGCGGGUUUCAGAUCAGCGACAGCAGAGCAUUCCAAGUACCGGCUCCUCUGUGCACACAGCCUCGUACAGCUGCCCGGGUCGCACACUCACCGAGCCUGCCCUGAAUCCCACCACCAGGAGUCCAGCGGAGCAAUCAGGGCAGAAGUAAAAGCACAGGGUCCCGAGAGAGUGUGGGACCGUGGGGAAGCCAGGCUGGGGUGCGCAGAGCUCUCUGAGGGCCACAGUUUGCUCUGGGGCUGGGGAGUGGGAGGUGUGGGAGGGCUCUGCGCCCCCUCACCUGGAGAAGCAGCGCAUCCCCCCGCAUCCCCCGCAUCCCCGGCGGCGAGGAGCGCCCUUCCGCCUUCCCAGGCUUGGCCUCUCCUCCCCUCCCCCUCCCCUCCCCUCCGGCCUUCCUUUAAUUUCCUCGGCUGGCUUUAACACCGCCCCCCUUCCGGGGUCAACUCCGCCCUUCACCUCUGUCCCUGUGGACCGUUUACAGUCAGCUCAGCGUUGGGGUACCUUUGGACUGAGAGUAGCGGAGGUGGUGUGGGGCGCCCAUCCACCUUCCCCCAAGACGCCGCCUCCCCUGCCGCCACGGAAGCGGAGAAGCGGAGCUCGCACGCUGCUAACCAGAGCCCGUGCAUCCCCCUCUUCCUCUUCCGCUCCAGGGCGCAGGUGCUCCCCUCCUGUCCUUGAGUUAAUCCAGGUGCCACAACGCCCUGGGCUCAGCGAAACUUGCUUAAACCUCCCCGGAUUCUCACCCUCACCUGCUCUCCACUUCGCGAGGAGAUGGAGGCCCAAGGUGCUGAGGAGCCACCCCGUGAAAACAUCUGGUUCCCCCAGGGCCGUUGCUCUGCCCAGCACUCCAGUGUCCCUCCUCCCAGAGCUUUCCAGAGAGUCAGUGCAGGCUCUCUCCUCCCUUACUCUCUGCUUAGUAUUUUUUCUCAAAGCAAAUUUAUUUUUUUAAAUCAAAAAUAGUUUUGUUUCUGUGGUACUGGGAGCUGAACCCCGGGCUUUCACACUGAGCUACAUCCCCAGCCCUUUUUUUAUUGUCUUAGCCGCUCAGGCUGAGCUUGAACUUGACAUCCUCCCGCCUCAGGCUCCCAGAGUGCUGGGAUUGCCGGCGGCGUGUGUCACCGCCACAACCAGCCUCGAGAGUGGUUUUUGAAGGCUGCCGCACCACGCGCUAUCCUGGCUGUAACAGCAAGGAGGAAGAGGGCACUUCAUCCUACGUUCAAGCAGAUACUGGCGCCAGGGUUCUGGGUGAAUGCAGAUGGGCCCCUCCUCUGCCCCUCAAGAAUGGCUCUCUGUCCUGGGGAGUCACUGGCUGGGGCUGGGGAUGAACCCAGGUGAGUCACCUGCAAAGGUAAACACUAACUGGCUCCCUGUUUCCUAAGCACCUACUUGGUGCCAGGUGCCGCGUGGCAUCUGACAGGCUUUGAGGUUAGUCCUGUUUAUGAACCCUGUUUCACAAAGGUUCAGGGAAGCAAUGGGGCUAGGCCAGGGGUGCACAGAAGUCAGGGGGAUCUGAACAAGUCCCCUGCCACCUUCCAAUCACCUCUGAUCACGUCUCCUCAGGAGAUGCCAGGGGCUUGUCUCUGGGGUGACCGGGAGGCCGAGAACUUCCUCUGGUUCUGACAGAGCUUUCCAGAAUCCGACAGCUCCUUGAGUGUCCUGCACAGGUUGCUUUAGGCAAAUCAGUGUAGGAAGAGAUAUCUUCCCUACAAAGCCGCUGGGGCAAGGCGCAUGGCAGGGGCUGGAAAGGCAGCACCAUUUUCUGCAGCUUUGGCUGCAACCAGCCCCAAGGCCUGCCCACGGGGACCUGAUGCUGACAGCCUUUAACUCAACCCCCUGGCCCCAGUUGUCAUAGAGGGACACUCCGGGAUGCAAGACUCCCAAGUCUCCCCGUGCUGUCAAGGAGAGGAGGAGCGCCCCCCCCCCCUGAACUGAGUCAGGGCAUGAGGACACAGCUACCCAGACGGGAGGCUCCCGCAGCUCGGCCUCACUUCCUGCCACCAGAGGGCUGUUUCAAAGCGAGGUGUGUCAGGAAACCCACUGGCCCCCAGCACAGCGAGAGCCUCACUCUAGUUGCCUGCCCUGCCCAUCACGAACGCCACCCCCUGGGCCUCGGUUACCUCCUCCCGUCAUCGGAGCAGCCCAGGGUGGGAACUGCUCUUACCCUCUCCCCUCCAGGGAGGAACUCAAACGGAGAGAUUGAGCUACCACAAGAUGGGCCUGAUCCAGUGUGAUGUUCAGACCUCAGCAGCCACAUUCAAAACAUGCUUUUGUUUUAAACACGUUGACGUCUUUUAAGUUUGAAAUUUUAGAGAGCAUGUCUGUAUUUUCCCCCCUAAAAAGCAAUGAGCACGCCUGUGUCCCCCUGCCAGCCCCAUUCCCCUGACGACGACGCACGUCCCAACUCCACAAGUGACAUGCAGCCACUCAGUGCGAGUCCAAGCUAAUACAAA